CCUACGGGUGGCUGCAGUCGAGAAUCAUUCACAAUGGGGGAAACCCUGAUGGUGCGACGCCGCGUGGGGGAAUGAAGGUCUUCGGAUUGUAAACCCCUGUCAUGUGGGAGCAAAUUACAACGAUAGUACCACAAUAGGAAGAGCCGGCUAACUCUGUGCCAGCAGCCGCGGUAAUACAGAGGUCUCAAGCGUUGUUCGGAAUCACUGGGCGUAAAGGGUGCGUAGGCUGUUUGGUAAGUCGUGUGUGAAAGGCGCGGGCUCAACCCGCGGACGGCGCAGGAUACUGCGAGACUAGAGUAAUGGAGGGGGAACCGGAAUUCGCGGUGUAGCAGUGAAAUGCGUAGAUAUCGAGAGGAACACUCGUGGCGAAGGCGGGUUACUGGACAGUAACUGACGCUGAGGCACGAAGGCCAGGGGAGCGAAAGGGAUUAGAUACCCUGGUAGUC
RNAcentral lists this ribosomal RNA (446 nucleotides) under uncultured bacterium. RNAcentral describes it as "partial 16S ribosomal RNA". It matches the Rfam family "Bacterial small subunit ribosomal RNA", at positions 338 to 795 of the family's 1533-position model. The record is from RNAcentral.